CCUACGGGUGGCAGCAGUGGGGAAUAUUGGGCAAUGGACGAAAGCCUGACCCAGCAACGCCGCGUGCAUGAUGAAGGUCCUCCGAUUGGUAAGCUCCUUUUUUAGGGAAGUAGAACGCGUUGCUUGUUUAGCAUUACGUCUCCCCUAUCUACGUGCCAGAAGUCGCGCCAUUACGUAGGCGGCGAUCGUUAUGCGGAUUGACUGGGUGUAAAGGGUGCGUAGGUAGGUAGGCAAGUUAGUAGCGAAACCCCAGGGCUCAACCUGGGAACUGCCGCUAGAACUGUUGGGCUUGAGUGCGGGGAAGGCAGGCGGAAUUCGUAGUGUAGCGGUGGAAUGCGUAGAUAUGACGAAGAACAC
This 357-nucleotide ribosomal RNA is filed under the name uncultured bacterium. RNAcentral describes it as "partial 16S ribosomal RNA". It matches the Rfam family "Bacterial small subunit ribosomal RNA", at positions 338 to 709 of the family's 1533-position model. The record is from RNAcentral.